Molecule: transfer RNA, 77 nt
Filed under: Dehalococcoidia bacterium
Lineage: Bacteria; Bacillati; Chloroflexota; Dehalococcoidia
Description: tRNA-Trp
Rfam family: tRNA
About the family: Transfer RNA (tRNA) molecules are approximately 80 nucleotides in length. Their secondary structure includes four short double-helical elements and three loops (D, anti-codon, and T loops).
Source: RNAcentral
AGGAGCGUAGCUCAGUAUGGUAGAGCAGCGGUCUCCAAAACCGCGGGUCGGGGGUUCAAGUCCUCCCGCUCCUGCCA